This 1602-nucleotide ribosomal RNA is filed under the name Salmonella enterica subsp. enterica serovar Typhimurium. RNAcentral describes it as "partial 23S ribosomal RNA". It matches the Rfam family "Bacterial large subunit ribosomal RNA", at positions 200 to 1757 of the family's 2925-position model. Lineage: Bacteria; Pseudomonadati; Pseudomonadota; Gammaproteobacteria; Enterobacterales; Enterobacteriaceae. The record is from RNAcentral.
AUCUAAGUACCCCGAGGAAAAGAAAUCAACCGAGAUUCCCCCAGUAGCGGCGAGCGAACGGGGAGGAGCCCAGAGCCUGAAUCAGCAUGUGUGUUAGUGGAAGCGUCUGGAAAGGCGCGCGAUACAGGGUGACAGCCCCGUACACAAAAGCGCAUGUGCUGUGAGCUCGAUGAGUAGGGCGGGACACGUGGUAUCCUGUCUGAAUAUGGGGGGACCAUCCUCCAAGGCUAAAUACUCCUGACUGACCGAUAGUGAACCAGUACCGUGAGGGAAAGGCGAAAAGAACCCCGGCGAGGGGAGUGAAAAAGAACCUGAAACCGUGUACGUACAAGCAGUGGGAGCACCCUUCGGGGUGUGACUGCGUACCUUUUGUAUAAUGGGUCAGCGACUUAUAUUCUGUAGCAAGGUUAACCGUAUAGGGGAGCCGGAGGGAAACCGAGUCUUAAUUGGGCGUUAAGUUGCAGGGUAUAGACCCGAAACCCGGUGAUCUAGCCAUGGGCAGGUUGAAGGUUGGGUAACACUAACUGGAGGACCGAACCGACUAAUGUUGAAAAAUUAGCGGAUGACCUGUGGCUGGGGGUGAAAGGCCAAUCAAACCGGGAGAUAGCUGGUUCUCCCCGAAAGCUAUUUAGGUAGCGCCUCGUGAAUUCAUCUCCGGGGGUAGAGCACUGUUUCGGCUAGGGGGCCAUCCCGGCUUACCAACCCGAUGCAAACUGCGAAUACCGGAGAAUGUUAUCACGGGAGACACACGGCGGGUGCUAACGUCCGUCGUGAAGAGGGAAACAACCCAGACCGCCAGCUAAGGUCCCAAAGUCAUGGUUAAGUGGGAAACGAUGUGGGAAGGCCCAGACAGCCAGGAUGUUGGCUUAGAAGCAGCCAUCAUUUAAAGAAAGCGUAAUAGCUCACUGGUCGAGUCGGCCUGCGCGGAAGAUGUAACGGGGCUAAACCAUGCACCGAAGCUGCGGCAGCGAACGUAUCACCCAAGACAACUUUACGGAGUUGACGAUUGACGGAGCGAAGCGACGUCAAAGCGUUCAUUAAAGUCGAGUUGGCUUAGGGAUACGUUCGUUGGGUAGGGGAGCGUUCUGUAAGCCUGUGAAGGUGUGUCGUGAGGCAUGCUGGAGGUAUCAGAAGUGCGAAUGCUGACAUAAGUAACGAUAAAGCGGGUGAAAAGCCCGCUCGCCGGAAGACCAAGGGUUCCUGUCCAACGUUAAUCGGGGCAGGGUGAGUCGACCCCUAAGGCGAGGCCGAAAGGCGUAGUCGAUGGGAAACGGGUUAAUAUUCCCGUACUUGGUGUUACUGCGAAGGGGGGACGGAGAAGGCUAUGUUGGCCGGGCGACGGUUGUCCCGGUUUAAGCGUGUAGGUGUGUGUUCCAGGUAAAUCCGGUUCACUUUAACACUGAGGCGUGACGACGAGGCACUACGGUGCUGAAGCAACAAAUGCCCUGCUUCCAGGAAAAGCCUCUAAGCAUCAGGUAACAUCAAAUCGUACCCCAAACCGACACAGGUGGUCAGGUAGAGAAUACCAAGGCGCUUGAGAGAACUCGGGUGAAGGAACUAGGCAAAAUGGUGCCGUAACUUCGGGAGAAGGCACGCUGACAC